Sebastes umbrosus (honeycomb rockfish) is the source of this 291-nucleotide long non-coding RNA. RefSeq lists it as uncharacterized. The transcript is spliced from 4 exons. The record is from RefSeq and is a predicted model, not a curated record. NCBI's taxonomy places the organism in Eukaryota, Metazoa, Chordata, Actinopteri, Perciformes, Sebastidae.
GCCAUUUAGUCUCUGAGUGAAGCUGAAAACACAGCAGGCAGACGGCUCAGCCACUCCCUGUUCCCUGAAAGUUACUUUCACUUUGAGUCUUUGUUCUUGUAAAACUCUGGUUCAGUUUGUGGAUUCAGCAGCUGGUUGAAGUGGUAGUAUUCCAGUAUUCCCAGUAUUCCCUCCUGUAGAUGUCCUCUCUCAGUGGAAGUGGUGGUUUUGGUCUGAAGGUGAAUCUUAUCGUCCGUCUCUCAGUGUGUGUGUCUUGACAGUAAAACAGAAUAACAACCUGUUUCCUGGUUU